Brassica napus (rape) is the source of this 868-nucleotide long non-coding RNA. RefSeq lists it as uncharacterized. The transcript has 2 exons. Lineage: Eukaryota; Viridiplantae; Streptophyta; Magnoliopsida; Brassicales; Brassicaceae. The record is from RefSeq and is a predicted model, not a curated record.
UGUAAAUAAUAUGUAAUGUUUCUAACAAUAUUCAUUUUCUGAUGUAUCUAAAUCUCGCCAUAUGACCUAUAUUUAAUCAAAAUAUUUAAAAUAUUAUUACAUUUGGGAAACAAUUUGGUGUUAAGAGAAAAUUUACUCAAACAUAUUAAUGGAUCAAUAUUUAUUGAAGGUUUAGUAUAGCGUAAAAGUCAAUAUUUUGUACAUCAUGUAAAAUAUUUAUAAAAAUAUUUAAUUAUUAUGUUUAUAAAUAUUUUAAAAUAAGAUGUAUAUAUAUUUAUAAAAUUGGAAAUAAGUACAUGCAGGGAUGUGCGGAUCAAGCUCUAGUUAUUUAGAUAAUAAUUUAUACUGUUCUUAAUGGAAUAAUAAAUUAAUGUCAAAAACCUCAGUAUCCUUUUCUUGUUAAUUUCUUUAGAGCUGGCAAAAUGUUAGUGCAAAGGCCCAAACUAUAGUAUAAAAAACAUAACACAGAAACCCAAUAAGAAACAUUAUAUGGGCUUAGCAUAAAUGCCCAUGUCUGCCUCAACCCUAGGGUUUUCAGGGGUAUAUAUUCCGAGUUACGCUUCCCUUUCUCUUCUUGCUACCGUCACCGGGGAAUAUAGCCGAGUAAGGUUUUGAGAAAAAGAGUUCCUCCGCAAUGAGAGCCAAGUGGAAGAAGAAGCGUAUGAGGAGGCUGAAGAGGAAGAGACGAAAGAUGAGACAGCGAUCUAAGUAGACAGAGAGAGACUCCUCUCUUGAAGACUGCGCUUUUCAGUUAUUUCAUUUCGCUAAGUACUUAUAUUUGGAUCUUGUUUCAGUUUGAAGUGUUCUUGUCUUCGUUUUUGUUGGAUUGUAUGGAUCCUCAGUUAACGUUAAAUCUUUAUCUUUCUAA